ACCUUUGACAUGUACGGAACCCUUUAGAGAUAGAGGGUGCUCGAAAGAGAGCCGUAACACAGGUGCUGCAUGGCUGUCGUCAGCUCGUGUCGUGAGAUGUUGGGUUAAGUCCCGCAACGAGCGCAACCCUUGUCAUUAGUUGCUACAUUCAGUUGGGCACUCUAAUGAGACUGCCGGUGACAAGCCGGAGGAAGGUGGGGAUGACGUCAAGUCCUCAUGGCCCUUAUAGGUGGGGCUACACACGUCAUACAAUGGCUGGUACAAAGGGUUGCCAACCCGCGAGGGGGAGCCAAUCCCAUAAAGCCAGUCGUAGUCCGGAUCGUAGUCUGCAACUCGACUACGUGAAGUCGGAAUCGCUAGUAAUCGUGGAUCAGAAUGUCACGGUGAAUACGUUCCCGGGUCUU
RNAcentral lists this ribosomal RNA (404 nucleotides) under uncultured Rhodoferax sp. RNAcentral's name for it is "bacterial SSU rRNA". It matches the Rfam family "Bacterial small subunit ribosomal RNA", at positions 977 to 1382 of the family's 1533-position model. The record is from RNAcentral. Lineage: Bacteria; Pseudomonadati; Pseudomonadota; Betaproteobacteria; Burkholderiales; Comamonadaceae.